CGUCCGUUACGUUGGUGACGUCACCACGAGCGCGAGAAGUCGAAGGUAGGAGCAGAAAGCGGUGUUAGUGUUAGUUCUGGCCCGUUUGGACCCAAACUAAAGUGUAUCAGUAUGAAGCAGGCGGUGACGGCGCACUGAUUCACUCUCGGAGCUCGGUUCACUAAUGACCGAAUCACCGAGGAACCGACCAAAUAUAACUCACACCCGCACGGAGAAGAAGAACAAGAGGAGGAGAAGAUGAACUGGAGUGGGGCAAAGAGAACUGCAUUCAGAUCAAACGGAUACAAGAGAGGUGGCCGAGUUGUUUGAGGAUCUAAAGAAUUGAGUGUCACAAUUCAACAUGCACAUCAGCGAAACUUUUCCCUCUGACUACACCAGCACGCACGCACAGAAAUUCAUAGUGCAGGUGGCAAUUGCAGGCACAUUUUAUCCGAACUGCUUCCUCCAGGGAACUCUAUGGAAACGACCCCAGGACCACCAUAGUGGUAUUCAGUGUGUAAUCUCCCUCCAUUUGCAUUCCUCUACUAUAAACAGCUCCAGUCUCUCUUCAGACACUGUGGUUAAAUCAAAUCCAUCUCCUUUGACAGCUCCAGCUGUGUGUGACACCACUGGCCUAUGUAGAGUUCUACCGCUCGUCAAUGAGAGGUUCUGGCGUUCUCCCAGAGGUCUCUCUGUCUCUCCUCCUCACGCAGAAGAGACUUCCUCUCCAUCUCAACGUUUAACCCGCUGGAGAGGUGGAGACUUGGGCAGGGGGGUAGUGUAUCUUACACCUCAGAUAUACACGGUACACACACACUCUGCAGCGAGCAUCAUCAGAUGAGUCAUGGUUACAUUUUAAGUGAGAGUAGUCAUGUGACCACAUCCCCUAGACAGUGUGAUGUUUAGAUGAUGUUCUGUACAUUAGUGCUGUUCUGUUACAGGUCUCUCUCUCUGUGUCUCUCUCACUCACUGUGUGUGUGUGUCUCUCUCAGGGUGAAUGUGGAUUUUCAGAAUCAGUCAGUGAGCCCUGUCGGGGUUCUGAGCAGCUCCAUUGAGUUGGAGAAUCUUCCGUCUAACCCUGUCUUUAUCGUCAAUAUCACCGAGGUGUCUGUUCCGCCUCUUUCACUUUCAGUGCACAAAUAAAAAAGAAGCUGUGGCUCCUGUGUGUGUGUGUGUGUGUGUGUGUGUGUGUGUGUGUGUGUGUGUGUGUGCGCACUAACAGGAGGUCCAGGUGCAGCCUUUGGAUAUUGAUGAAGAUUUACUGCCCCUGCAAGACCUUCCUCAACUGCGUAAUCUGGAGCAAAGGAUGCAACAGAGCCCAGAUUACAAGCAAAAUCUGGUAAACUGGUUGGCGCUUAUUGACGGGGUGUAUGUGCGUGACUGCACCUGGCGCAUAUUGAAGAGGGUGAUUGCUAACUCCCUGGCAAAGAAUCUCAAUUGGAGGGGAGUCAAUGGAAAGACUUCACUGUCCGCUCUCCAACUCGGAGAGGUCGUGAUUGGCAAGUAUAUCUGUUUACAUACAGAAUUAGCUGUCUCUCUAAGAUGAUAUGUAAGGGGUAAUCCACGGCUAGAUGUGCAUUAAACGAUUUUAAUGCAUGAUGUGGAGGAAAAGAACCACUCGUUCAAAUCGUUUAAUGCACACCUAGCCAUGGAUUACCCCGCCUAUACCAUGGUCUUUCCACAAUUAAUAACGUUAAAGCUGUCAUUGGUUUAGAAAUGCAAACUUUGAUU
This is a long non-coding RNA of Ictalurus punctatus (channel catfish), 1710 nucleotides long. RefSeq lists it as uncharacterized. The record is from RefSeq and is a predicted model, not a curated record. The transcript is spliced from 8 exons. NCBI's taxonomy places the organism in Eukaryota, Metazoa, Chordata, Actinopteri, Siluriformes, Ictaluridae.